Molecule: long non-coding RNA, 467 nt
Organism: Branchiostoma floridae (Florida lancelet)
Lineage: Eukaryota; Metazoa; Chordata; Leptocardii; Amphioxiformes; Branchiostomatidae
Exons: 3
Source: RefSeq, a predicted model, not a curated record
ACGACUGCAAUGGUGUUACCUGUCAGAACGGUGGAAACUGCGUUGAUGGCAUCGACUCAUACACCUGCGAUUGUGCUGUUGGCUUUGAAGGCACUCACUGUGAAACAAACAUAGACGACUGCAACGGUGUUACCUGUCAAAACGGUGGAAACUGCGUUGAUGGCAUCAACUCAUACACCUGCGACUGUGCUGUUGGCUUUGAAGGCACUCACUGUGAAACAAACAUAGACGACUGCAACGGUGUUACCUGUCAGAACGGUGGAAACUGCGUUGAUGGCAUCGACUCAUACACCUGCGAUUGUGCUGUUGGCUUUGAAGGCACUCACUGUGAAACAAGUAAGUUUCUCGAUAUAACAUUUAGCAGAUGGCAAGGUCUCAAUCAAUUCGUUACUCGACUAGUUCAAAAACAUAUUUUGAGCGAAUUGGGGAAAACCAAUUAUCUAUUCAACUCAAAGGACCUUAUGAAG